This 497-nucleotide ribosomal RNA is filed under the name uncultured bacterium. Its description in RNAcentral is "partial 16S ribosomal RNA". It matches the Rfam family "Bacterial small subunit ribosomal RNA", at positions 27 to 506 of the family's 1533-position model. The record is from RNAcentral.
GGACGAACGCUGGCGGCGUGCCUAAUACAUGCAAGUUGAGCGAUGAAGAUUGGUGCUUGCCCCAAUUUGAAGAGCAGCGAACGGGUGAGUAACGCGUGGGGAAUCUGCCUUUGAGCGGGGGACAACAUUUGGAAACGAAUGCUAAUACCGCAUAACAACUUUAAACAUAAGUUUUAAGUUUGAAAGAUGCAAUUGCAUCACUCAAAGAUGAUCCCGCGUUGUAUUAGCUAGUUGGUGAGGUAAAGGCUCACCAAGGCGAUGAUACAUAGCCGACCUGAGAGGGGGACCGGCCAAAUUGGGACGGAGAACCGGCCCAAACUCCUACGGGGGGCAGCAGUAGGGAAUCUUCGGAAAUGGACGAAAGUCUGCCCGAGCAACGCCGCGGGGGUGAAGAAGGUUUUGGGAUCGUAAAACCUUGUUGGUAGAGAAGAACGUGGGGGGGGGGGGAAAGCCCAUCAAGUGACGGUAACUACCCAAAAAGGGACGGCUAACUACGG